Molecule: ribosomal RNA, 990 nt
Filed under: Triticum aestivum (bread wheat)
Lineage: Eukaryota; Viridiplantae; Streptophyta; Magnoliopsida; Poales; Poaceae
Description: partial small subunit ribosomal RNA
Source: RNAcentral
AUGGAGAGCUCGACCUCGAGGACGAGCCUGAAUUGCAUCAGCCUGGUGGACCCCGACAUCCAGAGAUCGGUCGCGCUCCUCAAGCAGGCAUGCUUGGAUUCAGGCUUCUUCUAUGUGCUGGAUCAUGGGAUAAGCCAGGAAUUCAUGGACGAGGUUUUUGCCGAAAGCAAGAAGUUCUUUGAACUUCCGAACAGUGAGAAAAUGAAGCUUCUCCGAAAUGAGAAGAAUCGAGGGUAUACACCUAUGCUAGAUGAGAUUCUUGAUCCAGAAAACCAAGUGAAUGGUGACCACAAGGAAGGGUAUUAUAUUGGUGUUGAGGUACCUGCAGAUGACCCACAGUCAAAUAGGCCAUUUUAUGGUCCAAACCAGUGGCCUUCCGAAGAAAUAUUGCCCAAAUGGAGGGAGGUGAUGGAGCAAUAUCACAGGGAAGCAUUGAGAGUGGCCAAAUCAGUUGCAAGGAUCAUUGCUCUUGCUUUGAACCUAGACGAGGACUUCUUUGAUAGACCUGAAAUGCUUGGCGAUUCGAUAGCCACAUUAAGGCUCUUGCACUAUGAAGGUCAAGUGUCAAAUCCUUCUAAGGGAGUUUAUGGAGCUGGUGCACAUUCGGAUUAUGGCCUGAUCACUCUCUUAGCAACUGAUGACGUAGUUGGUCUCCAAAUUUGCAAGGACAGGAAUGCUCAGCCUCAAGUAUGGGAAUAUGUAGCUCCUGUGAAAGGCGGCUUUAUUGUCAAUCUUGGUGAUAUGCUCGAACGCUGGAGUAACUCCAUUUUCAGGUCAACUUUACAUCGAGUGGUCCUUGAUGGGCAGGAGCGUUACUCCAUUGCCUUUUUCGUGGAACCAAGCCAUGACUGUGUAGUCGAGUGCCUGCCAACCUGCAAAUCCGAGACGAAUCCGCCAAAGUUCCCCCCAAUCACUUGCUCGGCGUACCUAUCCCAGCGCUACAAGGACACGCACGCAGAUCUGAGCACUUACAGCGACGGCAAAGCCUGA